This 313-nucleotide unclassified non-coding RNA is filed under the name plant metagenome. Its description in RNAcentral is "partial contains 5.8S ribosomal RNA, internal transcribed spacer 2, and large subunit ribosomal RNA". The stretch from base 1 to 105 matches the Rfam family "5.8S ribosomal RNA", at positions 50 to 154 of the family's 154-position model. The record is from RNAcentral.
GAAAUGCGAUACGUAGUGUGAAUUGCAGAAUUCAGUGAAUCAUCGAAUCUUUGAACGCACAUUGCGCCCUUUGGUAUUCCAAAGGGCAUGCCUGUUCGAGCGUCAUUUGUACCCUCAAGCUUUGCUUGGUGUUUGGCGUUUUUUGUCUUUGGCUCGCCCAAAGACUCGCCUUAAAACGAUUGGCAGCCGGCCUACUGGUUUCGCAGCGCAGCACAUUUUUGCGCUUGCAAUCAGCAAAAGAGGACGGCAAUCCAUCAAGACUCCUUCUCACGUUUGACCUCGGAUCAGGUAGGGAUACCCGCUGAACUUAAGC